GACGAACGCUGGCGGCGUGCUUAACACAUGCAAGUCGAACGGAAAGGCCCUGCUUUUGUGGGGUGCUCGAGUGGCGAACGGGUGAGUAACACGUGAGUAACCUGCCCUUGACUUUGGGAUAACUUCAGGAAACUGGGGCUAAUACCGGAUAGGAGCUCCUGCUGCAUGGUGGGGGUUGGAAAGUUUCGGCGGUUGGGGAUGGACUCGCGGCUUAUCAGCUUGUUGGUGGGGUAGUGGCUUACCAAGGCUUUGACGGGUAGCCGGCCUGAGAGGGUGGCCGGCCACAUUGGGACUGAGAUACGGCCCAGACGCCUACGGGAGGCAGCAGUGGGGAAUAUUGCACAAUGGGCGGAAGCCUGAUGCAGCAACGCCGCGUGCGGGAGGACGGCCUUCGGGUUGUAAACCGCUUUCGCCUGUGACGAAGCGUGAGUGACGGUAAUGGGUAAAGAAGCACCGGCUAACUACGU
This 467-nucleotide ribosomal RNA is filed under the name uncultured bacterium. RNAcentral's name for it is "partial 16S ribosomal RNA". It matches the Rfam family "Bacterial small subunit ribosomal RNA", at positions 28 to 506 of the family's 1533-position model. The record is from RNAcentral.